AGAGUUUGAUCCUGGCUCAGGACGAACGCUGGCGGCGUGCUUAACACAUGCAAGUCGAACGGUGAUCCUGCUUCGGUGGGGGAUCAGUGGCGAACGGGUGAGUAACACGUGGGCAACCUGCCCCUGGCUCUGGGAUAACUCCAAGAAAUUGGGGGCUAAUACCGGAUAUGACUGCUGACCGCAUGGUCUGGUGGUGGAAAGAUUUAUCGGCUGGGGAUGGGCCCGCGGCCUAUCAGCUUGUUGGUGGGGUAGUGGCCUACCAAGGCGACGACGGGUAGCCGGCCUGAGAGGGUGACCGGCCACACUGGGACUGAGACACGGCCCAGACUCCUACGGGAGGCAGCAGUGGGGAAUAUUGCGCAAUGGGCGGAAGCCUGACGCAGCGACGCCGCGUGGGGGAUGACGGCCUUCGGGUUGUAAACCUCUUUCAGCAGGGACGAAGCGGAAGUGACGGUACCUGCAGAAGAAGCACCGGCCAACUACGUGCCAGCAGCCGCGGUAAUACGUAGGGUGCAAGCGUUGUCCGGAAUUAUUGGGCGUAAAGAGCUCGUAGGCGGUUUGUUGCGUCGGCUGUGAAAUCCCGAGGCUCAACCUCGGGUCUGCAGUCGAUACGAGCAAACUGGAGUGUUGCAGGGGAGACUGGAAUUCCUGGUGUAGCGGUGAAAUGCGCGAUAUCAGGAGGAACACCGGUGGCGAAGGCGGGUCUCUGGGCAACAACUGACGCUGAGGAGCGAAAGCGUGGGGAGCGAACAGGAUUAGAUACCCUAGUAGUCC
This 774-nucleotide ribosomal RNA is filed under the name uncultured bacterium. RNAcentral's name for it is "bacterial SSU rRNA". It matches the Rfam family "Bacterial small subunit ribosomal RNA", at positions 8 to 796 of the family's 1533-position model. The record is from RNAcentral.